Hippocampus comes (tiger tail seahorse) is the source of this 1488-nucleotide long non-coding RNA. RefSeq lists it as uncharacterized. The transcript is spliced from 3 exons. Lineage: Eukaryota; Metazoa; Chordata; Actinopteri; Syngnathiformes; Syngnathidae. The record is from RefSeq and is a predicted model, not a curated record.
AAUUAAGGACUCCUCUUCCCACUUUGAGUCGGUCUCCAGGGCACAUCUUCCGAGCGACUCGCUUUCAAGGAAAUUCGAAAAUUCCACAAUAAAACGUCAAAACAACCCCACUAAUAUUAACACUAGUAGUGAUUAUGCAAAUAAUAAUAAUAAUAUGACAACUCCGGAAAAGGCGCCACGCACCGUCGAGGCUCGAGGGUCUCUUGUAGUUUCAAGUGGCAGCAGGACGACAAAGUCCACACAGAUCAUUCAUGGAAAGCCAUCAUCUUUAUUAAAAUGCCACAGCUAGUACAACACAAGUGUCGAAAGCGGACUUUUCCCAGGGAUCCUCUUCAUCGGUGGACGGUGGGCAUGGGAUGAGGCUCCAUCCAGGUUCAAUCCCAUCCCGGGGUGUUUGGCUCUCCUCUCUUUUCACACACAGUCUGCGCGGGUGCGCCGCUCUUCAUCUCGGUGACUGUCGGACUUGGAAAACAGACUGCUUUCGAUUGAAUACGCUUGACAAAGAAACAUUACAUCGCUCUCUGCAGAGGACUGGCUCAUAAGAGAUGACCUCUAAAUCUAAUCCUAUCCCUGAGGAUAUGCAAAUGUGCUCUGAUCAAAUUUGAUUUGUGUUUUUGUCAGUUCAGGACCGAGCGGUUUGCUUACUACUCUUACACACGCCAACCCAAAGGAUGGCGGUGCACGUAUGAAGCACCGGCGAAUAUGCCAUUUCUAUUCACAGCUGACUUCAGGCUUUGCUCUCAAACGUAAGCCGCAUGCGAUGAAUGAUAAAGUAUAUUUAAAUAUUUAAUUUUCAAGUUCAUGUUUUGAUUCUUUUUAUUCCACUGCGGGAAUCUGUCUCAUUAUUGUUGUCCAACUGCUGUUUUCCAUCGCGAUCGCUGUAUGAUUUGGAUCACGUUCAAGUUAUGUGUUCAUACUUGAGAUUUCAAAAUGCGCCUAAUCUAUUUUUAUUAUUAUUAUUAUUUAUUAUUUAUUUUUUUGAUGAUGGCAUAAUUAUUUUCCGUAUUCUAAGUGAUGGUGUGGUGAACAACACAAAAAUGACAAUCCAGUGGUGGGUCAUAAGAACACUGAAAUGCAGACUAUCACUUCAUUGUGCAUUCAUUUUAUUCUAUGUCAGUGUCUUUGAAAAACUUUGCAUGCCUUUUCUGGUUUAAAAAAAAAACAAUGGAAGAAAAAAAAAUGCCACACAUAAAGUUGCUGCGAUUCCAUCAUUCAAACUUCUGAACUUCUUUUUUGUGGCUUCCUGGAGCACUACGGUGAGAUGAUCUCUCUGUUUCGCAUCAUUAGUUCCAUCUGUUGUGUGAGCGGCCCUGUCUGUUCCGGAGCAUGCCAGUGUGAUGGUCGCUAGGGGCGACUGGAGACGCUACCGUCCGGGCGGCUGGUGGUCUGACCUCGGCCACCAGCACCGCCUUGUCCGUGAUCCUGAUGACACUGAUUUCUGUUUGACUGCUUUAAACUAUUGACUAAAACGGUACAUCUGAGGAAAAU